GCAGUCGAACGGUAGCACAGAGAGCUUGCUCUCGGGUGACGAGUGGCGGACGGGUGAGUAAUGUCUGGGAAACUGCCUGAUGGAGGGGGAUAACUACUGGAAACGGUAGCUAAUACCGCAUAACGUCGCAAGACCAAAGAGGGGGACCUUCGGGCCUCUUGCCAUCAGAUGUGCCCAGAUGGGAUUAGCUAGUAGGUGGGGUAACGGCUCACCUAGGCGACGAUCCCUAGCUGGUCUGAGAGGAUGACCAGCCACACUGGAACUGAGACACGGUCCAGACUCCUACGGGAGGCAGCAGUGGGGAAUAUUGCACAAUGGGCGCAAGCCUGAUGCAGCCAUGCCGCGUGUAUGAAGAAGGCCUUCGGGUUGUAAAGUACUUUCAGCGGGGAGGAAGGUGUUGUGGUUAAUAACCACAGCAAUUGACGUUACCCGCAGAAGAAGCACCGGCUAACUCCGUGCCAGCAGCCGCGGUAAUACGGAGGGUGCAAGCGUUAAUCGGAAUUACUGGGCGUAAAGCGCACGCAGGCGGUCUGUCAAGUCGGAUGUGAAAUCCCCGGGCUCAACCUGGGAACUGCAUUCGAAACUGGCAGGCUGGAGUCU
RNAcentral lists this ribosomal RNA (600 nucleotides) under Enterobacter cloacae. RNAcentral's name for it is "bacterial SSU rRNA". It matches the Rfam family "Bacterial small subunit ribosomal RNA", at positions 57 to 649 of the family's 1533-position model. Lineage: Bacteria; Pseudomonadati; Pseudomonadota; Gammaproteobacteria; Enterobacterales; Enterobacteriaceae. The record is from RNAcentral.